AAUGUUGAGAGAUAUCAACGU
RNAcentral lists this unclassified non-coding RNA (21 nucleotides) under Dictyostelium discoideum. The record is from RNAcentral. Lineage: Eukaryota; Evosea; Eumycetozoa; Dictyosteliales; Dictyosteliaceae.